UUUUCUAAUUUGUCACACAGUAAACUUUUUAUAAUUAGGUGUACAGUUCUGUUAAUACAAAUUCACAUUAGAUUCACGUAAACCAUCACUACAAUCAGAUACAGAACAUCCAUCACCCCAAAAAUCUCUCUUGUGCAACCUCUUUAUAAGUCACACACAAAAACCUCUCACCACUAACCUCUGCCAACCACUGAUCUGUUCUCUAUCACUACAGAUUUGUCUUUUCAAGAAUGCAUACAAAUGGAAUCAUACAAUACAUAACCUUUUGAGGUUGGCUUCUUUUACUCAGCCUGAUGUCUUGAAAUUCAUCUAAGUGAUUGCAUGUAACAAUAGUUUGCUCCUUUUUUAUUGCAUUAUAUCCAUUUUAAAUAUAAACAAAAUGAGAUAUAAAUUUAUUCUUCUUAAAGUGUGUUACAGAUAUCUGCUAGUUUCAUAUUCUCCCAUGGUUAUCCCCUUUUCAUCUUUUGUGUAUGUCUUUUUAAAACCUAGAUAUUGUGGCCACAUUGGUUUAUUUUUGUUUUAAAGAUUUAUCUAUUUAUUUGAGAGAGACAGAGAGAGUACGAGCAGGGGAAGGGACAGAGAGAGAGGGAGAAAAGAAGACUCCCUACUGAGUAGGGAGACCAGGGAGGGCUGGAUCUCACAAUCCUGAGAUCAUGACCUGAGCGGAAACCAAGAGUCAGAUGUUCAAUCCAUUGAGCUAUUCAGGUGCCCCCAACAUUGGUUUAUUUAAAUGUUUCCCCUGUUUCUACCUUCCUGGAUAAAGUGUGAUUAUGAUGUUGGAAUAUUGCAUUUAGAACCUUCUCCCACUUAUCCCUCUUGAAUCAUCUUUCCUCUGGAUGCUAAGCAUUUAGAUAUAGCAACAUGUCAGAGUUAUAGGCCAGCUUUUAUCAAAAUUCCUUGAAAAUGGAAUAUAAAAAAUUAUCUGGGGAUCAUGUAGACAGAGGGGAACCAGCAUUAGUAAAAGCAUCUGGGAACCCAAAUAUAUUUAUUUGUUUAUUUUAUAAAUGUUGCUUAUUUAGGGAAUUCUUUUUAUUACAAUCACAAAUAAUUUAAGUAUAAACAAAUUAAACAUUAAUUAGAACCACCUUUAAAAUCAUAAAAUUAGAACUUACUGAAGGGAACUGCCUAUUCAUACCACUAUGAACCUGACCCCAUCCUGCCCUAAAGCUCAGAGCAAUGCUUUGAGAGGAGGCAGUUCUCAAACAUGGUUGAAUAAAUGACCUAUUACCUAUCUCUCAGGGACAUUGCUUUCCUUAAUGCUCCAGUGGCUCCUUGUGUUUCCAUUAUCAUAAAAGAGCAGAUUUUUACUCCCAAUAACAUAACCAACAGAUGUCUCCCUAAUCCUAAGGCAACUAGAAUGGUGGCAGUUUGUGGUAUUUUCUCAUCCCUUAUGGUACAUCGGAAAUAUCUGCGCAACCACCUGUGUUCUUCCCCUUUGCCCAUGCAAUUAAAGCUGUUUCAUACUAGAGCCAAAUUAAACAAUAAAAGGGCUCUAGGAAUCAGAAGAUUGUCUCAUAAAUUCCAUCCUUCAAAAUGAAAAAGAGGUGAACUUUAAGAAAUAAAAAGAGUAUAAUUUAUUUGGAUUCUUAAACUCUGUAUCCUUUGUUACAAAUUAACUUGUGUUAUUAAAAUUUUUCUACUGAUACUUACAUGAAAGAAAUAUCUACAAGCUAUUACUGCACAUUCUACCAAAAAUAUAUCUUCUGACUCUAUGUAGUCUUAAGCUGUUUCUCUUGAGCUUGCUAUGAAACCACCCAUCUCACUGGCCAUGAUACAUUCCUGGAAUCCUUUGUGCUGAUUUCUGUAUUAGAAUCACAAGCAUGGCUUCCCAAAAGCAUGUUGAUAUAUAUGGGUAGAUGGUUGGAGACAACCCUGUUACCAGAGCAGAGUGCUUGCCACAGGAAGACUACCAUUGGAUACAACUGUCCAGCAAAGUAUAUCAAUAUCCUGGUGGAAUCAUUAGAGCUCCUCCAAGGGAAAGAGUGGGUUGAGAGGGACCCAAGUCAAAGCAGCCAAAAGGAUGCACAUUGGGUUAAAACUGGGUUUCUCUUUAUUAUAUUCUCAGACCAGUGUGUAACAGAAAAAAAGCUAUCCUAAAGUACUUGACUAACCCUCAGUACACAGUACCUAUACUAUGGGUUAUCAAUUAGAUAGUUAUCUGUUAGAUAUUAUACACGUUAGCUAUCAUCUCCUCUUACAGUUUCCUCACUACCCCUUCUAGACAAAUUCAUCAUAAAAUAUUACUGUCCCUUGUGUGUGUAUCAUGGGAUGGGAUCAUUUAAACUGGAAGAUUUGAAAUCUAAAGUUGCAACAUACUAGAACGUCUCAGUUGCAAAAGAUGUUACAAUAAUUCAUUACAUGUCAAAGACUCAAAAUUUGGGAAAUGAUCCACUUUAAAAAUUAGAUCACAUUCCAGGUUAUUCAUUUAAUAACACCAUUCUCACACUUACUAAGUUACAUGGGUAAUAUUUGUCCCUUUUCCUUCAUCAGGAAAGUGCCUCUGACAUAGGUGUUCAUCAAAUAGUUGAUAAAUAAUAUAUCCCAC
This 2545-nucleotide long non-coding RNA is filed under the name Canis lupus familiaris (dog). RNAcentral's name for it is "lncRNA (ENSCAFG00845023925.1)". The record is from RNAcentral. Lineage: Eukaryota; Metazoa; Chordata; Mammalia; Carnivora; Canidae.